Long non-coding RNA from Esox lucius (northern pike), 585 nucleotides. NCBI's taxonomy places the organism in Eukaryota, Metazoa, Chordata, Actinopteri, Esociformes, Esocidae. The record is from Ensembl.
GUCUCAUCUCUUUCCUGCUCAAUAACAGCUGGCUUCGGUCUAGCCGCCAGGCGAGGAAUAAAAGAGAGAGAGGGAGAGCGAGAUGGAGAGAGAGGGCACAGCUGAGCAGCGCGCUCCUGACGCAGUAAGAGACGGAUAGCGGACAGAACAGAACAGAACAGAGAAGAGAAUAGAGAGAAUAGAGGGAGAGAGAGCUGCAUGCGCAAGACAGCAGUCGGUAGAACAGUGGCGCCGCUGUCUUGUCCGUUUUGUAUAUCGUGGCUGACACUACAGGCUUGAACGUGAUGCUGCCGCCACUGUCAGUCGAAAUCAGCGACUGUUGCUGCUCUCCUCCUUGAAGUAGAGGGGAGGGUAGAGAUAGAGAGAGAGGCAUAGAUAGGAGAGGGGACGGAUAUAGAGGAGAGGGGAGAUAGAGGAGAGGGGCACAGAACGGGAAGAGAGCAGAGUAGUACAGAAAAGAGCAAGAUUUUGGGUCGAAUCGGAGAUGAAUCGCUAACCAAACCUUCAGCUUUGGCUCUCCCAACUGUCUCGAUGUUUUCAGACUAAGAAAAUCUGGAAGAGAAGGAAAAAAAGCAUGACCUCAAG